ACGGCCCAGACUCCUACGGGAGGCAGCAGUAGGGAAUCUUCCGCAAUGGACGAAAGUCUGACGGAGCAACGCCGCGUGAACGAUGAAGGCUUUCGGGUCGUAAAGUUCUGUUGUUAGGGAAGAACAAGUACCAGAGUAACUGCUGGUACCUUGACGGUACCUAACCAGAAAGCCACGGCUAACUACGUGCCAGCAGCCGCGGUAAUACGUAGGUGGCAAGCGUUAUCCGGAAUUAUUGGGCGUAAAGCGCUCGCAGGCGGUCUUUUAAGUCUGAUGUGAAAGCCCACGGCUCAACCGUGGAGGGUCAUUGGAAACUGGGAGACUUGAGUGCAGAAGAGGAGAGUGGAAUUCCACGUGUAGCGGUGAAAUGCGUAGAGAUGUGGAGGAACACCAGUGGCGAAGGCGACUCUCUGGUCUGUAACUGACGCUGAGGAGCGAAAGCGUGGGGAGCGAACAGGAUUAGAUACCCUGGUAGUCCACGCCGUAAACGAUGAGUGCUAAGUGUUAGAGGGUUUCCGCCCUUUAGUGCUGCAGCUAACGCAUUAAGCACUCCGCCUGGGGAGUACGGUCGCAAGACUGAAACUCAAAGGAAUUGACGGG
Molecule: ribosomal RNA, 600 nt
Filed under: Bacillus cheonanensis
Lineage: Bacteria; Bacillati; Bacillota; Bacilli; Caryophanales; Bacillaceae
Description: bacterial SSU rRNA
Rfam family: Bacterial small subunit ribosomal RNA
Source: RNAcentral